GAGCUGUGAGGAUAUUGGCUUCAGCGAUGGUUGGGUCCUUCGCAUUCUUCUGAUUAUCAGACGAUAUAUGGCCUUGGUCUGAGCUC
This 86-nucleotide small nucleolar RNA is filed under the name Capsella rubella. RNAcentral's name for it is "small nucleolar RNA snoR114". It matches the Rfam family "small nucleolar RNA snoR114". The record is from Rfam by way of RNAcentral. Lineage: Eukaryota; Viridiplantae; Streptophyta; Magnoliopsida; Brassicales; Brassicaceae.